RNAcentral lists this ribosomal RNA (122 nucleotides) under Echinops telfairi (small Madagascar hedgehog). Lineage: Eukaryota; Metazoa; Chordata; Mammalia; Afrosoricida; Tenrecidae. The record is from RNAcentral.
GUCUACGGCCAUACCCACUGAAUGUGCCCGAUCUCGUCUGAUCUUGGAAUCUAAGCAGGGCCAGGCCUGCUGACUACUUGGAUGGGAAAAUACCAAAAAGCCCCAACCAGUUGCCGUGCACC